UACAGAGGUGGCUAGCGUUGUUCGGAUUAAUUGGGUGUAAAGGGUGCGUAGGCGGUCUGGAAAGUCAGAUGUGAAAUCCUACAGCUUAACUGUAGAACUGCAUUUGAAACUUCCAGGCUAGAGUGUGGGAGAGGUGAAGGGAAUUCCCGGUGUAAGGGUGAAAUCUGCAGAGAUCGGGAAGAACACCUGUAGCGAAGGCGCUUCACUGGCCCACAACUGACGCUGAGUGCACGAAGGCGUGGGGAGCAAACGGG
RNAcentral lists this ribosomal RNA (254 nucleotides) under uncultured bacterium. RNAcentral describes it as "partial 16S ribosomal RNA". It matches the Rfam family "Bacterial small subunit ribosomal RNA", at positions 524 to 776 of the family's 1533-position model. The record is from RNAcentral.